UACGUAGGGUGCGAGCGUUACUCGGAAUUACUGGGCGUAAAGCGUGCGUAGGCGGGUCUUUAAGUCAGGGGUGAAAUCCUGGAGCUCAACUCCAGAACUGCCUUUGAUACUGAAGAUCUUGAGUUCGGGAGAGGUGAGUGGAACUGCGAGUGUAGAGGUGAAAUUCGUAGAUAUUCGCAAGAACACCAGUGGCGAAGGCGGCUCACUGGCCCGAUACUGACGCUGAGGCACGAAAGCGUGGGGAGCAAACAGG
This 253-nucleotide ribosomal RNA is filed under the name uncultured bacterium. RNAcentral describes it as "partial 16S ribosomal RNA". It matches the Rfam family "Bacterial small subunit ribosomal RNA", at positions 524 to 776 of the family's 1533-position model. The record is from RNAcentral.